This is an RNA transcript of Lycium ferocissimum, 835 nucleotides long. RefSeq lists it as uncharacterized. The record is from RefSeq and is a predicted model, not a curated record. The transcript has 3 exons. Lineage: Eukaryota; Viridiplantae; Streptophyta; Magnoliopsida; Solanales; Solanaceae.
CCACGGUUCCAAAAACCAUGGCAAAACUAACAAAAAAAUACAACUUUCUCUACGAUGUGAAAACCGACGCUAAAAUUCAGUGGGAAAAUUAGGCGGGUACUAAAUUUUACUCCCUCCCUUUAUUUUUUCAUUUGCCCCCAUUUAUUUUUCUAUUUUGCUUUUGUUUUCCUCUUUCAUCAAAAACUCCCUAUACCCAAAUCGGCAGCUUCACCCAAAAUCCCACUAAUUCACCAAAAAAUUCGUCUGCUUCAUUGUCCCCAGCUUCAAAUAGUAGCGGAAAGUGGUAGAAUCACUUAAUCCAGGAGAAUAUGAAGCGAAAACGCAAGAAUUCAGCACAAGCAAUGUUAGAAAGCCUACGAGGACGGCAAGCUGACAACAAUAGCACAACUUCCCAAGAUUUGCAGCAACAAAUUAGUGGGUAUCAACUAGAUGACCAACUUGAUAAUGAGAACCUAACAACUCAUACAUUCGGUAAUGACAACUUGAAUUCUUCUUCAAGCUCCAAUGAAGCUAACUCAAAAAAUAAAGAGGAGCCCUUACUUGUCAAGAUUAAAGAUAUUUUGACUGGAGAAGUUACAACUGAAAAGAUGCAAGCAGAUCGAGUUUGGAACUUGGAAAAAAAUAAAAAAAAUUGUGGUGGAACUCAACGCGGAUGGACAAGGAUGUGAUAAUGGUUCAAACUUGCUUGUGAGAUUUCUUGGCAAACUUUCUCAAAAGUCAAUAAUUUGUCCCAUAUCAGUUAAGAGAUGGGAUAGGAUGCCUGAGGCAAAAAAUCGCCUACAAUGGCAGUUAAUUGAGGUAACUAUCUAAAUUCUUUCAGUUUCAAUGAGUGUAU